GAGUUUGAUCCUGGCUCAGGAUGAACGCUGGCGGCGUGCUUAACACAUGCAAGUCGAACGGGGCCACCAUUUUUGAAGCGAUUAGCUUGCUAAGAGUGGAAAUGUUGGCGGCUUAGUGGCGGACGGGUGAGUAACGCGUGGGUAACCUGCCUUGCACUGGGGGAUAACACUUAGAAAUAGGUGCUAAUACCGCAUAAGCGCACGGAGCUGCAUGGCUCAGUGUGAAAAACUCCGGUGGUGCAAGAUGGACCCGCGUCUGAUUAGCUUGUUGGCGGGGUAAUGGCCCACCAAGGCGACGAUCAGUAGCCGGCCUGAGAGGGUGGACGGCCACAUUGGGACUGAGACACGGCCCAGACUCCUGCGGGAGGCAGCAGUGGGGAAUAUUGCACAAUGGGGGAAACCCUGAUGCAGCGACGCCGCGUGAGUGAAGAAGUAUUUCGGUAUGUAAAGCUCUAUCAGCAGGGAAGAAAAUGACGGUACCUGAUUAAGAAGCCCCGGCUAACUACGUGCCAGCAGCCGCGGUAAUACGUAGGGGGCAAGCGUUAUCCGGAUUUACUGGGUGUAAAGGGAGCGUAGACGGUGAUGCAAGUCAGAAGUGAAAGCCCGGGGCUCAACUCCGGGACUGCUUUUG
RNAcentral lists this ribosomal RNA (631 nucleotides) under uncultured bacterium. RNAcentral's name for it is "bacterial SSU rRNA". It matches the Rfam family "Bacterial small subunit ribosomal RNA", at positions 9 to 629 of the family's 1533-position model. The record is from RNAcentral.